AGCUUAGCGUUUUUUAUGGUAAGUAAUUUCUGCCCAAUGAAAUUUAAAUGGCCGGGUAUCUUGACCGUGCAAAGGUAGCAUAAUCAUUUGCCUUUUUAUUGAAGGCUAGAAUGAAGGAAAAAAUAAGAAUAUAACUGUCUCUGCCGUAAUAUAAAAAUUGCUGGUAGCGUGAAGAAGCGAAAGUAACAAAAAAAGCAAGAAGACCCUAUUAAGCUUUACUUUUAAAUUUUGUUUUUUAUCUUAAAAGAAUAAAAAACAAAACUAUGUCAGUUUGGUUGGGGUGACUAAAAAGGAAAAAAUCCUUUUUUGGAAAAGUACUUUAAGUUUAAGGAAAGAUCCAAGCUUUUUGAUUAUUAGAAUAAGUUACUAUAGGGAUAACAGCGUAAUUUUUUCAGAGAGUUCUAUUGACGAAAAAGAUUGCGACCUCGAUGUUGACUUGUUGUUUCCUUAUAAGGUGUAGAAGCUAUAAGGGUUAGUCUGUUCGACUAUUAAAACAAU
RNAcentral lists this ribosomal RNA (498 nucleotides) under Lineus flavescens. RNAcentral's name for it is "partial 16S ribosomal RNA". It matches the Rfam family "Archaeal large subunit ribosomal RNA", at positions 1921 to 2666 of the family's 2987-position model. Lineage: Eukaryota; Metazoa; Nemertea; Pilidiophora; Heteronemertea; Lineidae. The record is from RNAcentral.